AUGGCCCACAUAUCAGAUAUUAAACUGAUAAGAACAGAUACUACACUUGAUCUUAGCCAAAAGGCCGAGAAAGGUAUGAGUUGAACCGCUGCCCUGCCCCUCUAUUUGUACCCUCCUCGCCCUCCCGUCCCCUCCUCGCCGAGCGAUGUGGUACUAUUAAACGAGUUGCUCGCCCCUCGCGCUGCUGAGUGCGGACAGUGCAAGCAAUGCCCCCGAGCCAGCCUCUUGCGUGGGCCUCAAACAAAGAAGGCCUUUUCGCCGAUAUAUACUACACUUAAUCUUAACAUCAGCCUGAUUCGCGCCUCCUGCUGUUUUGCGAUCACCACGGAUGGGCGGCCUAGGGAGAACGAGCCGCGCGCACUGUCGAGCCUCUUCCUGUCACGGGCGGAGCUAUGUAUGUACAGCUAA
RNAcentral lists this ribosomal RNA (408 nucleotides) under Triticum aestivum (bread wheat). RNAcentral's name for it is "partial small subunit ribosomal RNA". Lineage: Eukaryota; Viridiplantae; Streptophyta; Magnoliopsida; Poales; Poaceae. The record is from RNAcentral.